UAAGGUGCCAGUAUGGGUAAUGUCCCCCCUAAUAUCAGUAAUAGCUCACAAAAACUUCUAUAUCACUAUAGAAUGUGCGAAAGUUGGAGACUAUUCAACUGUUUCUGUUUACCUCAAACUCCCCUUGACUGAUCUCGGUAGAACCAGGAUGAGAAGGUACUGGCACCUGAUCUGGUCCUUCAUGUAUCUCUAAAUCACAGUAACGGGAGUGUUAUAAGAUACUUUUCAUCCACAGGUAUCUCUAAAUCACAGUAACGGGAGUGUUAUAAGAUACUUUUCAUCCACAGGUAUCUCUAAAUCACAGUAACAGGAGUGUUAUAAGAUACUUUUCAUCCACAGGUAUCUCUAAAUCACAGUAACGGGAGUGUUAUAAGACACUUUUCAUCCACAG
Clupea harengus (Atlantic herring) is the source of this 391-nucleotide long non-coding RNA. NCBI's taxonomy places the organism in Eukaryota, Metazoa, Chordata, Actinopteri, Clupeiformes, Clupeidae. The record is from Ensembl.